Molecule: ribosomal RNA, 253 nt
Filed under: uncultured bacterium
Lineage: Bacteria
Description: partial 16S ribosomal RNA
Rfam family: Bacterial small subunit ribosomal RNA
Source: RNAcentral
UACGUAGGGGGCUAGCGUUGUCCGGAAUCAUUGGGCGUAAAGCGCGUGUAGGCGGUCCGGUAAGUCCGCUGUGAAAGUCGGGGGCUCAACCCUCGUAUGCCGGUGGAUACUGUCGGGCUUGAGUACGGAAGAGGCGAGUGGAAUUCCUGGUGUAGCGGUGGAAUGCGCAGAUAUCAGGAGGAACACCGGUGGCGAAGGCGCCACUCUGGGCCGGUACUGACGCUGAGGAGCGAAAGCGUGGGGAGCGAACAGG